Molecule: ribosomal RNA, 2791 nt
Filed under: Providencia rettgeri
Lineage: Bacteria; Pseudomonadati; Pseudomonadota; Gammaproteobacteria; Enterobacterales; Morganellaceae
Description: bacterial LSU rRNA
Rfam family: Bacterial large subunit ribosomal RNA
Source: RNAcentral
AGCGUACACGGUGGAUGCCUAGGCAAUCAGAGGCGAUGAAGGACGUGCUAAUCUGCGAUAAGCGUCGGUAAGGUGAUAUGAACCGUUAUACCCGACGAUUUCCGAAUGGGGAAACCCAGUGCAAUCCGUUGCACUAUCGUUUGAUGAAUACAUAGUCAAACGAAGCGAACCGGGGGAACUGAAACAUCUCAGUACCCCGAGGAAAAGAAAUCAACCGAGAUUCCCCUAGUAGCGGCGAGCGAACGGGGAGCAGCCCAGAGUCUUAAUCAGCAUUAGUAUCAGGAGAACGGUCUGGAAAGUCCGGCAGUAAAGGGUGAUAGCCCCGUAUCUGAAGAUAUUAGUGUUGUGAACUCGACGAGUAGGGCGGGACACGUGUUAUCCUGUCUGAAUAUGGGGGGACCAUCCUCCAAGGCUAAAUACUCCUGAUUGACCGAUAGUGAACCAGUACCGUGAGGGAAAGGCGAAAAGAACCCCGGCGAGGGGAGUGAAAUAGAACCUGAAACCGUGUACGUACAAGCAGUGGGAGCCUUGAUUUAUCAGGGUGACUGCGUACCUUUUGUAUAAUGGGUCAGCGACUUAUAUUCUGUAGCAAGGUUAACCGUAUAGGGGAGCCGUAGGGAAACCGAGUCUUAACUGGGCGAAUGAGUUGCAGGGUAUAGACCCGAAACCCGGUGAUCUAGCCAUGGGCAGGUUGAAGGUUGGGUAACACUAACUGGAGGACCGAACCGACUAAUGUUGAAAAAUUAGCGGAUGACUUGUGGCUGGGGGUGAAAGGCCAAUCAAACCGGGAGAUAGCUGGUUCUCCCCGAAAGCUAUUUAGGUAGCGCCUCGUGAACUCAUCUUCGGGGGUAGAGCACUGUUUCGACUAGGGGGUCAUCCCGACUUACCAACUCGAUGCAAACUACGAAUACCGAAGAAUGUUAUCACGGGAGACACACGGCGGGUGCUAACGUUCGUCGUGAAGAGGGAAACAACCCAGACCGCCAGCUAAGGUCCCAAAGUCAUAGUUAAGUGGGAAACGAAGUGGGAAGGCUCAGACAGCCAGGAUGUUGGCUUAGAAGCAGCCAUCAUUUAAAGAAAGCGUAAUAGCUCACUGGUCGAGUCGGCCUGCGCGGAAGAUGUAACGGGGCUAAACUAUGCACCGAAGCUGCGGCAGCGAUAUGUAAAUAUUGUUGGGUAGGGGAGCGUUCUGUAAGCCUGUGAAGGUGUACUGUGAGGUAUGCUGGAGGUAUCAGAAGUGCGAAUGCUGACAUAAGUAACGAUAAUGCGGGUGAAAAACCCGCACGCCGGAAGACCAAGGGUUCCUGUCCAACGUUAAUCGGGGCAGGGUGAGUCGACCCCUAAGGCGAGGCAGAAAUGCGUAGUCGAUGGGAAACGGGUUAAUAUUCCCGUACUGGUGAUAAUUGCGAUGGGGGGACGGAGAAGGCUAGGCUGGCCGGGCGACGGUUGUCCCGGUUUAAGGAUGUAGGCAGGUGAAUUAGGCAAAUCCGGUUCACUAUAUGCUGAGGUCUGAUGACGAGUCACUACGGUGGCGAAGUAGCUCAUGCCCCGCUUCCAGGAAAAGCCUCUAAGCUCUAGAUUAUCAUUAAUCGUACCCCAAACCGACACAGGUGGUCAGGUAGAGAAUACUCAGGCGCUUGAGAGAACUCGGGUGAAGGAACUAGGCAAAAUGGUGCCGUAACUUCGGGAGAAGGCACGCUGGCGCUAGGUGAAGUGGUUUACCCAUGGAGCUGAAGCCAGUCGCAGAUACCAGCUGGCUGCAACUGUUUAUUAAAAACACAGCACUGUGCAAACACGAAAGUGGACGUAUACGGUGUGACGCCUGCCCGGUGCUGGAAGGUUAAUUGAUGGGGUUAUCCGUAAGGAGAAGCUCUUGAUCGAAGCCCCAGUAAACGGCGGCCGUAACUAUAACGGUCCUAAGGUAGCGAAAUUCCUUGUCGGGUAAGUUCCGACCUGCACGAAUGGCGUAAUGAUGGCCAGGCUGUCUCCACCCGAGACUCAGUGAAAUUGAACUCGCUGUGAAGAUGCAGUGUACCCGCGGCAAGACGGAAAGACCCCGUGAACCUUUACUAUAGCUUGACACUGAACAUUGAGCCUUGAUGUGUAGGAUAGGUGGGAGGCUUUGAAGUGUGGACGCCAGUCUGCAUGGAGCCAACCUUGAAAUACCACCCUUUAAUGUUUGAUGUUCUAACGUUGCCCCGUUAUCCGGGGUGCGGACAGUGUCUGGUGGGUAGUUUGACUGGGGCGGUCUCCUCCCAAAGAGUAACGGAGGAGCACGAAGGUUGGCUAAGCAUGGUCGGACAUCAUGCGGUUAGUGCAAAGGCAUAAGCCAGCUUGACUGCGAGAGUGACGGCUCGAGCAGGUACGAAAGUAGGUCUUAGUGAUCCGGUGGUUCUGAAUGGAAGGGCCAUCGCUCAACGGAUAAAAGGUACUCCGGGGAUAACAGGCUGAUACCGCCCAAGAGUUCAUAUCGACGGCGGUGUUUGGCACCUCGAUGUCGGCUCAUCACAUCCUGGGGCUGAAGUAGGUCCCAAGGGUACGGCUGUUCGCCGUUUAAAGUGGUACGCGAGCUGGGUUUAGAACGUCGUGAGACAGUUCGGUCCCUAUCUGCCGUGGGCGUUGGAAGAUUGAAAGGGGCUGCUCCUAGUACGAGAGGACCGGAGUGGACGCACCACUGGUGUUCGGGUUGUCAUGCCAAUGGCAUUGCCCGGUAGCUAAGUGCGGAAGAGAUAACCGCUGAAAGCAUCUAAGCGGGAAACUUGCCUUGAGAUGAGUCUUCCCUGACCCUUUA